GACGAACGCUGGCGGCGUGGAUUAGGCAUGCAAGUCGAACGGUAUCAUCCUUUCGGGGGUGAGAGAGUGGCGAACUGGUGAGUAACACGUAGGUUAUCUACCCUCAAGACGGGGACAACCCAGGGAAACUUGGGCUAAUACCGGAUGUGAGCAACUUUUAGUUGUUUGAAAGGUGGCGUAAGCUGUCGCUUGGGGAUGAGCCUGCGUCCUAUUAGUUAGUUGGUGAGGUAACGGCUCACCUAGGCAAUGAUAGGUAGGCGGCCUUAACGGGUGGUCGCCCACACUGGGAUUGAGAUACGGCCCAGACUCCUACGGGAGGCAGCAGUCGAGAAUAGUCUACAAUGGUCGGAAGACUGAUAGUGCGACGCCGCGUGAACGAUGAAUCCCUUCGGGGUGUAAAGUUCUUUUAUAUGUGAGCAGUGCUUCUUAUAUUAACAGUUAUGGGGAGAGAGAUAUUAGCAUAUGAAUAAGCAACGGCUAACUCCGUGCCAGCAGCCGCGGUAA
RNAcentral lists this ribosomal RNA (504 nucleotides) under uncultured bacterium. Its description in RNAcentral is "bacterial SSU rRNA". It matches the Rfam family "Bacterial small subunit ribosomal RNA", at positions 28 to 523 of the family's 1533-position model. The record is from RNAcentral.